RNAcentral lists this ribosomal RNA (477 nucleotides) under uncultured anaerobic ammonium-oxidizing bacterium. RNAcentral describes it as "bacterial SSU rRNA". It matches the Rfam family "Bacterial small subunit ribosomal RNA", at positions 365 to 832 of the family's 1533-position model. The record is from RNAcentral.
UUCGCAAUGCCCGAAAGGGUGACGAAGCGACGCCGCGUGCGGGAAGAAGGCCUUCGGGUUGUAAACCGCUGUCGGGAGUUAGGAAGUGCAAGGAUGUUAAUAGCGUCUUUGCUUGACUAAGGCUCCGGAGGAAGCCACGGCUAACUCUGUGCCAGCAGCCGCGGUAAUACAGAGGCGGCAAGCGUUGUUCGGAAUUAUUGGGCGUAAAGAGCACGUAGGUGGGUUUGUAAGUCAGAUGUGAAAGCCUCCUGUUCAACGGGAGAAUUGCAUCUGAAACUGCUGAUCUUGAGUGUAGGAGGGGAGAGUGGAACUUCUGGUGGAGCGGUGAAAUGCGUAGAUAUCAGAAGGAACGUCGGCGGCGAAAGCGACUCUCUGGUCCGUAACUGACGCUGAGUGUGCGAAAGCUAGGGGAGCAAACGGGAUUAGAUACCCCGGUAGUCCUAGCCGUAAACGAUGGGCACUAAGUAGAGGGGUUUU